AUUGAACGCUGGCGGCAGGCCUAACACAUGCAAGUCGAACGGUAACAGGAAGAAGCUUGCUUCUUUGCUGACGAGUGGCGGACGGGUGAGUAAUGUCUGGGAAACUGCCUGAUGGAGGGGGAUAACUACUGGAAACGGUAGCUAAUACCGCAUAACGUCGCAAGACCAAAGAGGGGGACCUUCGGGCCUCUUGCCAUCGGAUGUGCCCAGAUGGGAUUAGCUAGUAGGUGGGGUAACGGCUCACCUAGGCGACGAUCCCUAGCUGGUCUGAGAGGAUGACCAGCCACACUGGAACUGAGACACGGUCCAGACUCCUACGGGAGGCAGCAGUGGGGAAUAUUGCACAAUGGUCGCAAGCCUGAUGCAGCCAUGCCGCGUGUAUGAAGAAGGCCUUCGGGUUGUAAAGUACUUUCAGCGGGGAGGAAGGGAGUAAAGUUAAUACCUUUGCUCAUUGACGUUACCCGCAGAAGAAGCACCGGCUAACUCCGUG
RNAcentral lists this ribosomal RNA (490 nucleotides) under uncultured bacterium. RNAcentral describes it as "partial 16S ribosomal RNA". It matches the Rfam family "Bacterial small subunit ribosomal RNA", at positions 30 to 507 of the family's 1533-position model. The record is from RNAcentral.